Long non-coding RNA from Pyrus x bretschneideri (Chinese white pear), 768 nucleotides. RefSeq lists it as uncharacterized. NCBI's taxonomy places the organism in Eukaryota, Viridiplantae, Streptophyta, Magnoliopsida, Rosales, Rosaceae. The transcript is spliced from 2 exons. The record is from RefSeq and is a predicted model, not a curated record.
AAAAAAAUAAAAAAAUAAAAAUUAAGAAGCCCACCGCACACAAGUCUUCCUCCUCCGAUUCUUUCUCUCGCUCUCUGUCCAUUUUCUCUAUCUGUUCGUUGCGCUGCCGCGACCGGUACACCACCACCCCAAAGCACGACGCCAUAUCCGCCUCCACAAUCUCACCCCCACCUACUUCCUCUCUCAUUAUCGACGCGGUUUCCAAGCUUCAUCGUAACAGAGCUUCGAGAAAAAGAUGGCUCUCAGAGGAGUGUGGCAAUUGCAAAAACUGGUUGUGAGCCAUUCUGAGUGGGGAAGAAGCAGCAGGGGGCAUCAGGUUUGUUCCUCAAACGCAACCACUACUUGCAAUUCUCUUUGUAUUUUUAUCAAGUUAGUUUAUCUGAUUUUCUAUGUGAAAAUCAUAUGCACUGAAUCUUAUCAGAACUCCGACUUCGAUAUUAAGCGAGUUUGAACGAAAGUAGCAUUAGAUGGACGAACUUAUGGGAAGUUCUCGUAUUGCAUCCACACUUCUUGUUAUCUUCCAUUCUCAAAAAAAAAAAAAAAAAAAACAAAAAAUGUGAAGAUCCAAAUUUAUGGGAUUUUCACAUAAGAACCCUAGAUAUAAUUACACUUCAUAGAAAAAUACUUAGAAGUUCGAACCCAAUAUUUUAGAAAAGCACCAUUCUUAUAAGAGCAAGUCCAGCAUAUCGAGGCCACCAAGACAACUUCCUAUUGAAUAACCUUCAAUGAAUAGUAAUUGUCUUUAAUGAACAGUAAUUACUUUUUGUA